GCUGACGAGUGGCGGACGGGUGAGUAAUGUCUGGGAAACUGCCUGAUGGAGGGGGAUAACUACUGGAAACGGUGGCUAAUACCGCAUAACGUCGCAAGACCAAAGAGGGGGACCUUCGGGCCUCUUGCCAUCAGAUGUGCCCAGAUGGGAUUAGCUAGUUGGUGAGGUAACGGCUCACCAAGGCGACGAUCCCUAGCUGGUCUGAGAGGAUGACCAGCCACACUGGAACUGAGACACGGUCCAGACUCCUACGGGAGGCAGCAGUGGGGAAUAUUGCACAAUGGGCGCAAGCCUGAUGCAGCCAUGCCGCGUGUAUGAAGAAGGCCUUCGGGUUGUAAAGUACUUUCAGCGGGGAGGAAGGUGUUGUGGUUAAUAACCGCAGCAAUUGACGUUACCCGCAGAAGAAGCACCGGCUAACUCCGUGCCAGCAGCCGCGGUAAUACGGAGGGUGCAAGCGUUAAUCGGAAUUACUGGGCGUAAAGCGCACGCAGGCGGUCUGUCAAGUCGGAUGUGAAAUCCCCGGGCUCAACCUGGGAACUGCAUUCGAAACUGGCAGGCUUGAGUCUUGUAGAGGGGGGUAGAAUUCCAGGUGUAGCGGUGAAAUGCGUAGAGAUCUGGAGGAAUACCGGUGGCGAAGGCGGCCCCCUGGACAAAGACUGACGCUCAGGUGCGAAAGCGUGGGGAGCAAACAGGAUUAGAUACCCUGGUAGUCCACGCCGUAAACGAUGUCUACUUGGAGGUUGUGCCCUUGAGGCGUGGCUUCCGGAGCUAACGCGUUAAGUAGACCGCCUGGGGAGUACGGCCGCAAGGUUAAAACUCAAAUGAAUUGACGGGGGCCCGCACAAGCGGUGGAGCAUGUGGUUUAAUUCGAUGCAACGCGAAGAACCUUACCUGGUCUUGACAUCCACAGAAGAAUCCAGAGAUGGAUUUGUGCCUUCGGGAACUGUGAGACAGGUGCUGCAUGGCUGUCGUCAGCUCGUGUUGUGAAAUGUUGGGUUAAGUCCCGCAACGAGCGCAACCCUUAUCCUUUGUUGCCAGCGGUCCGGCCGGGAACUCAAAGGAGACUGCCAGUGAUAAACUGGAGGAAGGUGGGGAUGACGUCAAGUCAUCAUGGCCCUUACGACCAGGGCUACACACGUGCUACAAUGGCGCAUACAAAGAGAAGCGACCUCGCGAGAGCAAGCGGACCUCAUAAAGUGCGUCGUAGUCCGGAUUGGAGUCUGCAACUCGACUCCAUGAAGUCGGAAUCGCUAGUAAUCGUGGAUCAGAAUGCCACGGUGAAUACGUUCCCGGGCCUUGUACACACCGCCCGUCACACCAUGGGAGUGGGUUGCAAAAGAAGUAGGUAGCUUAACCUUCGGGAGGGCGCUUACCACUUUGUGAUUCAUGACUGGGGUGAAGUCGUAACAAGGUAACCGUAGGGGAACCUGCGGUUGGAUCACCUCCUUACCUUAAAGAAGC
This 1461-nucleotide ribosomal RNA is filed under the name Salmonella enterica subsp. enterica. Its description in RNAcentral is "bacterial SSU rRNA". It matches the Rfam family "Bacterial small subunit ribosomal RNA". Lineage: Bacteria; Pseudomonadati; Pseudomonadota; Gammaproteobacteria; Enterobacterales; Enterobacteriaceae. The record is from RNAcentral.